RNAcentral lists this ribosomal RNA (356 nucleotides) under uncultured bacterium. Its description in RNAcentral is "bacterial SSU rRNA". It matches the Rfam family "Bacterial small subunit ribosomal RNA", at positions 28 to 382 of the family's 1533-position model. The record is from RNAcentral.
GAUGAACGCUAGCGGCAGGCUUAACACAUGCAAGUCGAGGGGUAGAGGAAGCUUGCUUCCUUGAGACCGGCGCACGGGUGCGUAACGCGUAUGCAACCUACCUUUUACAGAGGGAUAGCCCAGAGAAAUUUGGAUUAAUACCUCAUGGUAUAUAUCAUUCGCAUGUUUGAUAUACAGUUAAAGAUUCAUCGGUAUGGGAUGGGCAUGCGUCUGAUUAGCUAGUUGGCGGUGUAACGGACCACCAAGGCGACGAUCAGUAGGGGUUCUGAGAGGAAGGUCCCCCACACUGGCACUGAGAUACGGGCCAGACUCCUACGGGAGGCAGCAGUAGGGAAUAUUGGGCAAUGGACGAGAGU